UCCGAGUUGUCCCCGGCAGUCUCCUUAGAGUCCCCAGCUUUACCUGCUGGCAACAUGCGACGAGGGUUGCGCUCGUUGCGGGACUUAACCCAACAUCUCACGACACGAGCUGACGACAGCCAUGCACCACCUGUCUCCAGGUUCCCGAAGGCACCCCCACAUCUCUGCAGGGUUCCUAGGAUGUCAAGACCAGGUAAGGUUCUUCGCGUUGCAUCGAAUUAAACCACAUGCUCCACCGCUUGUGCGGGUCCCCGUCAAUUCUUUUGAGUUUCAACCUUGCGGCCGUACUCCCCAGGCGGAGAACUUAACGCGUUAGCUACGACACCGAAGGGCAGACCCCUCCGACAUCCAGUUCUCAUCGUUUAUGGCGUGGACUAC
RNAcentral lists this unclassified non-coding RNA (378 nucleotides) under uncultured Gammaproteobacteria bacterium. Its description in RNAcentral is "contains 16S-23S intergenic spacer region". Lineage: Bacteria; Pseudomonadati; Pseudomonadota; Gammaproteobacteria. The record is from RNAcentral.